GAUGAACGCUGGCGGCGUGCUUAACACAUGCAAGUCGAACGAUGAUGCCAGCUUGCUGGUGGAUUAGUGGCGAACGGGUGAGUAACACGUGCGCAACCUGCCCCUGCCUUCGGGAUAACCGCGGGAAAGCGUGGCUAAUACCGACUAUGACGCGCUAUCGCAUGGUGGUGUGUGGAGAGAUUUAUCGGUUGGGGGUGGGUUCGCGGCCUAUUAGCUUGUUGGUGGGGUGAUGGCGUACCAAGGCGCCGACGGGUGGCCGGCCUGAGAGGGUGAGGGGCCACACUGGUACUGAGAAACGGCGCAGACGCCUACGAGAGGCAGCAGUGGGGAAGAUUGCACAACGAGCGCAAGCCGGAUGCUGCGACGCCGCGUGGGGGAUGACGGCCGUCUUGUUGUAGACCUCUUUCAGUAGGGAAGAAGGCCUUCGUUUUGACGGUACCUGCAGAAGAAGCGCCGGCUAACUACGUG
This 468-nucleotide ribosomal RNA is filed under the name uncultured bacterium. Its description in RNAcentral is "partial 16S ribosomal RNA". It matches the Rfam family "Bacterial small subunit ribosomal RNA", at positions 28 to 507 of the family's 1533-position model. The record is from RNAcentral.